CUGGAAGAGACAAACUUAACAAGGAGGU
This 28-nucleotide non-coding RNA is filed under the name Homo sapiens (human). Lineage: Eukaryota; Metazoa; Chordata; Mammalia; Primates; Hominidae. The record is from RNAcentral.